AAUUUUGCACAAUGGGGGAAACCCUGAUCCAGCCAUCCCGCGUGUAUGAUGAAGGCCUUCGGGUUGUAAAGUACUUUUGGCAGAGAAGAAAAGGUAUCUCCUAAUACGGGAUACUGCUGACGGUAUCUGCAGAAUAAGCGCCGGCUAACUACGUUCCAACAGCCUCGGUAAUACGAAGGGUGCAAGCGUUAAUCGGAAUUACUGGGUGUAAAGGGUGUGUAGGCGGUGCGUAAAGAGAAAGGUGAAGUCCCAGGGCUCAAUCUUGGAACUGCAUUGUUAACUGCCGAGCUAGAGGAAGUCAGAGGGGGGUAGAAUUCCACGGGUGGCAGGGAAAGGCGUAGAUAUGUGGAGGAAUACCGAUGGCGAAGGCAGCCCCCUGGGAUAAUACUGACGCUCAGAGACGAAGGCGUGGGGAGCAAACAGG
Molecule: ribosomal RNA, 424 nt
Filed under: uncultured bacterium
Lineage: Bacteria
Description: partial 16S ribosomal RNA
Rfam family: Bacterial small subunit ribosomal RNA
Source: RNAcentral